AGUCGAGCGGAUUAUAGAGCUUGCUCUAUAGUUAGCGGCGAACGGGUGAGUAAUGCCUAGGAAUCUGCCCAUUAGCGGGGGAUAACGUUCCGAAAGGAACGCUAAUACCGCAUACGCCCUACGGGGGAAAGCAGGGGAUCUUCGGACCUUGCACUAAUGGAUGAGCCUAGGUCAGAUUAGCUAGUUGGUGAGGUAAUGGCUCACCAAGGCGACGAUCUGUAGCGGGUCUGAGAGGAUGAUCCGCCACACUGGAACUGAGACACGGUCCAGACUCCUACGGGAGGCAGCAGUGGGGAAUAUUGGACAAUGGGCGCAAGCCUGAUCCAGCCAUACCGCGUGUGUGAAGAAGGCCUUUUGGUUGUAAAGCACUUUAAGCGAGGAGGAGGGCACUUUGGCUAAUACCCGAAUGUGUCGGACGUUACUCGCAGAAUAAGCACCGGCUAACUCUGUGCCAGCAGCCGCGGUAAUACAGAGGGUGCGAGCGUUAAUCGGAAUUACUGGGCGUAAAGCGCGCGUAGGCGGCUUGUUAAGUCGGAUGUGAAAUCCCCGGGCUCAACCUGGGCACUGCAUUCGAUACUGGCAAGCUAGAGUAUGGGAGAGGAAGGUAGAAUUCCAGGUGUAGCGGUGAA
RNAcentral lists this ribosomal RNA (629 nucleotides) under uncultured bacterium. RNAcentral's name for it is "bacterial SSU rRNA". It matches the Rfam family "Bacterial small subunit ribosomal RNA", at positions 60 to 685 of the family's 1533-position model. The record is from RNAcentral.